RNAcentral lists this ribosomal RNA (857 nucleotides) under Lyomyces microfasciculatus. Its description in RNAcentral is "partial large subunit ribosomal RNA". It matches the Rfam family "Eukaryotic large subunit ribosomal RNA", at positions 66 to 915 of the family's 3401-position model. Lineage: Eukaryota; Fungi; Basidiomycota; Agaricomycetes; Hymenochaetales; Schizoporaceae. The record is from RNAcentral.
UAACAAGGAUUCCCCUAGUAACUGCGAGUGAAGCGGGAAGAGCUCAAAUUUAAAAUCUGGCAGCUUCGCUGUCCGAGUUGUAAUCUGGAGAAGCAUUUUCCGCGUUGGACCGUGUACAAGUCUCUUGGAACAGAGCGUCAUAGAGGGUGAGAAUCCCGUCCAUGGCACGGACUACCAAUGCUUUGUGAUAUGCUCUCGAAGAGUCGAGUUGUUUGGGAAUGCAGCUCAAAAUGGGUGGUAAGUUCCAUCUAAAGCUAAAUAUUGGCGAGAGACCGAUAGCGAACAAGUACCGUGAGGGAAAGAUGAAAAGCACUUUGGAAAGAGAGUUAAACAGUACGUGAAAUUGUUGAAAGGGAAACGCUUGAAGUCAGUCGCGUUGUCUGAGACUCAGCCUUGCUUGCUUGGUGUACUUCUCAGUUAACGGGUCAACAUCAAUUUUGGUUGGUGGACAAAGGUCGAAGGAAUGUGGCAUCUUCGGAUGUGUUAUAGCCUUCUUCCGUAUACACUGGCUGGGAUUGAGGUCUGCAGCACGCCUUUAUGGCCGGGGUUCGCCCACGUUACGUGCUUAGGAUGUUGGCAUAAUGGCUUUAAGCGACCCGUCUUGAAACACGGACCAAGGAGUCUAACAUGCUUGCGAGUAUUAGAGUGGAAAACUCUUGUGCGUAAUGAAAGUGAAAGUUGGGACUCUUCAUUGAGGCACCGACGCCCUGCCCUGAAGUCUUCUGACGGUGCAGCGGUAGAGCACGUAUGUUGGGACCCGAAAGAUGGUGAACUAUGCCUGAAUAGGGUGAAGCCAGGGGAAACUCUGGUGGAGGCUCGUAGCGAUUCUGACGUGCAAAUCGAUCGUCAAAUUUGGG